Long non-coding RNA from Neodiprion fabricii, 725 nucleotides. RefSeq lists it as uncharacterized. Lineage: Eukaryota; Metazoa; Arthropoda; Insecta; Hymenoptera; Diprionidae. The record is from RefSeq and is a predicted model, not a curated record. The transcript has 4 exons.
UGAGCAAUUUUCUCUCAAUGACACCAAUGAUAAGGAAUAAUGCACUCAUAAUUGGAAGAAACGUAGAAUGUCGAUGGGCUUAUAAUAUAUGUCAGCGAUGUUCCUGUUCGUCUAUCCCAAGAUUUCUGUGUUCUCAGAUCUUGUAAAUCUUGGACCGUGCUUGCAACGAUCUUGCGAACGAUCCAUGUUACUCGGCUAGGCGUACCAUCCCUUGCCGCAUUUACAAGGUAAUUAAACUGUGUAGCUGUAGCUGUGUAGCUUUUGCGCGGCGACAAAAAUUGUGGGACAAAUACAAGGCGAAAUCUCGCAAACACAGACCCUCGAUGGUCGUCUCGACGGACAUCAGCUAUGGGACGCACGUUUGCAUGAAAAACAGUCCAAUGUACCAACGGGGAGCGAUCGGCUUCACCAUCGCCAACGGCGUUCCCAAGGUCAGUCAGCUGCUCUUGGCCGCCUGGAACCUCGAUUCAACUUACCAAUUUCUUUCGCUCUUUGAACAUUAUUGCUCUCGUUGGAAUGUUGCUCAAUUUUUUGAAGGAUUAAUUGAUUUUGUUACUGGAGAACACACGAUGAAACAGAAACGCCAGUUUCUUCGGCGCAGAACACUCACGACCAGCCUCCAGCUGAUUUUAGAUACACUGCGCAUGUACACCGCGCAUAUCCAUUGCGCAGGCCCGAAGUGCUCGGAAACUAGGGGAAAUCAUGGGGAAAUCAAUCACUUAAUA